UUUCCGUAGGUGAACCUGCGGAAGGAUCAUUACAAAAACAAAAUCCACACACCUAAUGUGCACUUUGUGAAAGAUUUGCGAGGGCAAAGAAAAUAACCCCCUCGCAGAUGUCUUUUUCUUUUUUCCAACUCCUUGUUUAACCACAACAAAGGAUAACAAUGUAUAAAACUUGAACCAAAAAAACAAAUAACAAAAGAAAUGACAACUUUUAACGGUGGAUCUCUUGGCUCGU
This 232-nucleotide unclassified non-coding RNA is filed under the name plant metagenome. RNAcentral describes it as "partial contains small subunit ribosomal RNA, internal transcribed spacer 1, and 5.8S ribosomal RNA". The record is from RNAcentral.